RNAcentral lists this ribosomal RNA (253 nucleotides) under uncultured bacterium. RNAcentral describes it as "partial 16S ribosomal RNA". It matches the Rfam family "Bacterial small subunit ribosomal RNA", at positions 524 to 776 of the family's 1533-position model. The record is from RNAcentral.
UACGGAGGGGGCUAGCGUUGUUCGGAAUUACUGGGCGUAAAGCGCACGUAGGCGGCUUUGUAAGUUAGAGGUGAAAGCCCGGAGCUCAACUCCGGAACUGCCUUUAAGACUGCAUCGCUCGAACGUCGGAGAGGUAAGUGGAAUUCCGAGUGUAGAGGUGAAAUUCGUAGAUAUUCGGAAGAACACCAGUGGCGAAGGCGACUUACUGGACGACUGUUGACGCUGAGGUGCGAAAGCUAGGGGAGCAAACGGG